RNAcentral lists this transfer RNA (72 nucleotides) under Microscilla marina ATCC 23134. It matches the Rfam family "tRNA". From Rfam's summary of the family: Transfer RNA (tRNA) molecules are approximately 80 nucleotides in length. Their secondary structure includes four short double-helical elements and three loops (D, anti-codon, and T loops). Lineage: Bacteria; Pseudomonadati; Bacteroidota; Cytophagia; Cytophagales; Microscillaceae. The record is from Rfam by way of RNAcentral.
GUUGAGGUAGCUCAGUGGUAGAGCUUUCGGCGCUUAACCGAAAGGACGCAGGUUCGAGCCCUGCCCUCAAUG